Molecule: ribosomal RNA, 156 nt
Filed under: Lupinus angustifolius (narrow-leaved blue lupine)
Lineage: Eukaryota; Viridiplantae; Streptophyta; Magnoliopsida; Fabales; Fabaceae
Description: rRNA 5_8S_rRNA
Rfam family: 5.8S ribosomal RNA
About the family: 5.8S ribosomal RNA (5.8S rRNA) is a component of the large subunit of the eukaryotic ribosome. It is transcribed by RNA polymerase I as part of the 45S precursor that also contains 18S and 28S rRNA. Functionally, it is thought that 5.8S rRNA may be involved in ribosome translocation.
Source: Rfam by way of RNAcentral
GACUCUCGGCAACGGAUAUCUCGGCUCUUGCAUCGAUGAAGAACGUAGCGAAAUGCGAUACUUGGUGUGAAUUGCAGAAUCCCGUGAACCAUCGAGUCUUUGAACGCAAGUUGCGCCCGAAGCCAUUAGGCCGAGGGCACGCCUGCCUGGGUGUUG